AUUGAACGCUGGCGGCAGGCCUAACACAUGCAAGUCGAGCGGAUGAAGGGAGCUUGCUCCUGGAUUCAGCGGCGGACGGGUGAGUAAUGCCUAGGAAUCUGCCUGGUAGUGGGGGAUAACGUCCGGAAACGGGCGCUAAUACCGCAUACGUCCUGAGGGAGAAAGUGGGGGAUCUUCGGACCUCACGCUAUCAGAUGAGCCUAGGUCGGAUUAGCUAGUUGGUGGGGUAAAGGCCUACCAAGGCGACGAUCCGUAACUGGUCUGAGAGGAUGAUCAGUCACACUGGAACUGAGACACGGUCCUGACUCCUACGGGAGGCAGCAGUGGGGAAUAUUGGACAAUGGGCGAAAGCCUGAUCCAGCCAUGCCGCGUGUGUGAAGAAGGUCUUCGGAUUGUAAAGCACUUUAAGUUGGGAGGAAGGGCAGUAAGUUAAUACCUUGCUGUUUUGACGUUACCAACGGAAUAAGCACCGGCUAACUUCGUG
RNAcentral lists this ribosomal RNA (484 nucleotides) under uncultured bacterium. RNAcentral's name for it is "partial 16S ribosomal RNA". It matches the Rfam family "Bacterial small subunit ribosomal RNA", at positions 30 to 507 of the family's 1533-position model. The record is from RNAcentral.